Molecule: ribosomal RNA, 1439 nt
Filed under: Lactiplantibacillus plantarum
Lineage: Bacteria; Bacillati; Bacillota; Bacilli; Lactobacillales; Lactobacillaceae
Description: bacterial SSU rRNA
Rfam family: Bacterial small subunit ribosomal RNA
Source: RNAcentral
UGCAAGUCGAACGAACUCUGGUAUUGAUUGGUGCUUGCAUCAUGAUUUACAUUUGAGUGAGUGGCGAACUGGUGAGUAACACGUGGGAAACCUGCCCAGAAGCGGGGGAUAACACCUGGAAACAGAUGCUAAUACCGCAUAACAACUUGGACCGCAUGGUCCGAGCUUGAAAGAUGGCUUCGGCUAUCACUUUUGGAUGGUCCCGCGGCGUAUUAGCUAGAUGGUGGGGUAACGGCUCACCAUGGCAAUGAUACGUAGCCGACCUGAGAGGGUAAUCGGCCACAUUGGGACUGAGACACGGCCCAAACUCCUACGGGAGGCAGCAGUAGGGAAUCUUCCACAAUGGACGAAAGUCUGAUGGAGCAACGCCGCGUGAGUGAAGAAGGGUUUCGGCUCGUAAAACUCUGUUGUUAAAGAAGAACAUAUCUGAGAGUAACUGUUCAGGUAUUGACGGUAUUUAACCAGAAAGCCACGGCUAACUACGUGCCAGCAGCCGCGGUAAUACGUAGGUGGCAAGCGUUGUCCGGAUUUAUUGGGCGUAAAGCGAGCGCAGGCGGUUUUUUAAGUCUGAUGUGAAAGCCUUCGGCUCAACCGAAGAAGUGCAUCGGAAACUGGGAAACUUGAGUGCAGAAGAGGACAGUGGAACUCCAUGUGUAGCGGUGAAAUGCGUAGAUAUAUGGAAGAACACCAGUGGCGAAGGCGGCUGUCUGGUCUGUAACUGACGCUGAGGCUCGAAAGUAUGGGUAGCAAACAGGAUUAGAUACCCUGGUAGUCCAUACCGUAAACGAUGAAUGCUAAGUGUUGGAGGGUUUCCGCCCUUCAGUGCUGCAGCUAACGCAUUAAGCAUUCCGCCUGGGGAGUACGGCCGCAAGGCUGAAACUCAAAGGAAUUGACGGGGGCCCGCACAAGCGGUGGAGCAUGUGGUUUAAUUCGAAGCUACGCGAAGAACCUUACCAGGUCUUGACAUACUAUGCAAAUCUAAGAGAUUAGACGUUCCCUUCGGGGACAUGGAUACAGGUGGUGCAUGGUUGUCGUCAGCUCGUGUCGUGAGAUGUUGGGUUAAGUCCCGCAACGAGCGCAACCCUUAUUAUCAGUUGCCAGCAUUAAGUUGGGCACUCUGGUGAGACUGCCGGUGACAAACCGGAGGAAGGUGGGGAUGACGUCAAAUCAUCAUGCCCCUUAUGACCUGGGCUACACACGUGCUACAAUGGAUGGUACAACGAGUUGCGAACUCGCGAGAGUAAGCUAAUCUCUUAAAGCCAUUCUCAGUUCGGAUUGUAGGCUGCAACUCGCCUACAUGAAGUCGGAAUCGCUAGUAAUCGCGGAUCAGCAUGCCGCGGUGAAUACGUUCCCGGGCCUUGUACACACCGCCCGUCACACCAUGAGAGUUUGUAACACCCAAAGUCGGUGGGGUAACCUUUUAGGAACCAGCCGCCUAA